RNAcentral lists this ribosomal RNA (460 nucleotides) under uncultured bacterium. Its description in RNAcentral is "partial 16S ribosomal RNA". It matches the Rfam family "Bacterial small subunit ribosomal RNA", at positions 338 to 795 of the family's 1533-position model. The record is from RNAcentral.
CCUACGGGUGGCAGCAGUGAGGAAUAUUGGUCAAUGGACGAGAGUCUGAACCAGCCAAGUAGCGUGAAGGAUGACUGCCCUAUGGGUUGUAAACUUCUUUUAUAUGGGAAUAAAAUGUUCCACGUGUGGGAUUUUGUAUGUACCAUAUGAAUAAGGAUCGGCUAACUCCGUGCCAGCAGCCGCGGUAAUAAGGAGGAUCCGAGCGUUAUCCGGAUUUAUUGGGUUUAAAGGGAGCGUAGGGGGUUUGUUAAGUCCGUUGUUAAAGUUUGCGGCUCAACCGUAAAAUUGCAGUUGAAACUGGCAGUCUUGAGUACAGUAGAGGUGUGCGGAAUUCGUGGUGUAGCGGUGAAAUGCUUAGAUAUCACGAAGAACUCCGAUUGCGAAGGCAGUACACUGGACUGCAACUGACACUGAGGCUCGAAAGUGUGGGUAUCAAACAGGAUUAGAUACCCCUGUAGUC